GUGGGGAAUAUUGCACAAUGGGCGAAAGCCUGAUGCAGCAACGCCGCGUGCGGGAUGACGGCCUUCGGGUUGUAAACCGCUUUCACCAGGGGCGAAUUUGACGGUACCUGGAGAAGAAGCACCGGCUAACUACGUGCCAGCAGCCGCGGUGAUACGUAGGGUGCGAGCGUUGUCCGGAUUUAUUGGGCGUAAAGAGCUCGUAGGUGGUUUGUUGCGUCGGAAGUGAAAACACAGGGCUUAACUCUGUGCUUGCUUUCGAUACGGGCAGACUUGAGGAAGGUAGGGGAGAACGGAAUUCCUGGUGGAGCGGUGGAAUGCGCAGAUAUCAGGAGGAACACCAGUGGCGAAGGCGGUUCUCUGGACCUUUCCUGACGCUGAGGAGCGAAAGCGUGGGGAGCAAACAGG
This 405-nucleotide ribosomal RNA is filed under the name uncultured bacterium. RNAcentral's name for it is "bacterial SSU rRNA". It matches the Rfam family "Bacterial small subunit ribosomal RNA", at positions 354 to 776 of the family's 1533-position model. The record is from RNAcentral.